AAUUACUUGAGUGCCUUUUGGUAGGAACAUGCAUAAUGAGGGAAGUUCUCUUUAUUCUCUAUUUCUGCUACUUCGUGCAAACAGCAGGUCAAAAAGAUUUGGCCAGCUGGGAUCCACACUAGUUCCACGACUCUUUAAAAAAAUAUAAAUGUCCUCCUCUUACUCCAGCCAUAUUUUUCCACUGGAGAAAUGGGUCAUUUGGUGAGAGAGAAAAAUGGCAUAAUGAUCCAUUUGAAUCUGCUCUGGUUCCCUGACAGACAUAAUAGCUCAACACUUGUAUAAAUAUUUUGAUAUGAAUUCAGCCAGCAUUGCAGUGGGUCAUGGCUGGAAUAAGUGUACAGGAAGGAAAGAAAGAAAACAGAGAUGUUCUGAUGACAAAAAAUAGACUAUUUCACAAGUAAAUGUACUGUUAGUUUUGGAGGAAGGACUCGCAAUUGUGAAAGGAAAACUCUCUACAAAGCAUUUUCAUUUUGGAGACUUUUUGCUUAACAAAUGCAGGAGAUAAAUACUUAUCAGUUAUUGAAGCCUAGAUGUUUCCAGAGGGGCUUUGUUUUAUUAGCAUGAUUCAUGCUGUUUCUGGGAAGUAAGGCUGACGAAUGAGUGGGCAGCAGCAGAAGGGAAGUAUUUGGGAAUUUGCUUGUCUCUGAAGUACCUCGAGCCGGUCCAGCGCGCAGCACAUUGGCUGCAGACAAAGAAAGGGACGUUUCUUGUCUCGUCCGAGCGCUUGCGUCCGAGGGCUCCCUGCUUUGGAAGUGUAGAGACGCCGGCCUGGUCACUCUCGGGCCCUGGCUGCCAGCGCGAAGGAUGGCAGGUGAGUCGCAGGAGGACGACUGUGAAGUCUGGUAUUUCUGCGCUAGGCGCUGCUCUCCGCCCGGCCCAGCAGCACCUGUACACGGCACUUCAGGGAGCAGAGCCUGGCUGCGUGCCUGCUCUCUCUUCUGGCAGAACAGCGUGCAGCAAAUGUGGCCAACAGCAAAAACCUCCCAGCACAUGAUUAGCCUGUAAGGAGGACUCCAGGGGCAGUGAAGCUUGCUGACUGCAAAAUUGGUUUAAUUUGAAAAGGAAGGGAGAAGCCAGUGAAGCGUGAAUCUGAGCCCUUCUUGGCAUCUCUUUGUUCACACACACGCAGGGCUGUGCACUGAACUCUUCCCCGCUGAAAGCCUGUUGGAAUAAGCAGUAUAUUUCAGAGCGGCCUCGGCGCAGACAGCAAUCUCCAGCCCCGCUGUCCUGCCUUCGGCAGCCAUCUGGGCCCCUCACGUCCACAAGUAAAAUCUUCCUCCCCCGCUGCCCCGGGCCAGCCGGGCCAGUGAUGCUCUGUCCUGGAUGGGGUGGGCAAAAUGCGGGCCGGAUGCAGCCCACCGGGCCGUUCUAUCCGGCCCCUAAAACAUUUAGAAAACUCAUAUUGAUCUGCCCCUGGCUGCCCGUCAUGCGGCCCUCGAUGGCUUGCCAAAACUCAGUAAGUGGCCCUCCGCCCAAAAUAAAUGCCUGCCCCAAGGGAAGGGAGUCCUCUCUGUUGCUCCACAGGUCCCAUGCUUUCACGGGCAGCUGGGCACCCUCGAAUCCCCUCUCCUGGCAUGUCCAGCUACCGCCGUCUGCAUGAUGUGCAUUGAGCUUUUCUCUUCGAACUCAAGAGUUGGAGCCUCUGCUCCCCUGCGUUUGGGGGGUGCUCAGACCGGUGACGACAGGUUUGGGAGCUGUUUGCCCAAAGCAGGAACAGCCCUGGCCCGCAGGUGCCUGGGACCCGAACCUGCCACCGCUCACAAGUGUCAGCUCCUUGCCUCCUGCAGCAACAGCGCUCGGCUCACCCAACCGAACCAGCGAGCCCCGGGCUGCCGCAUCGUGGGCUAGGACAACACGACAGCCCCUCUGGCAAUAGGUGCGUCCGACCGACAAGGGGACGUCAGCGUGAUCUCCGUGAAGGAGCAUAGGCGGGCGUUUGAAGAGCAGGUUGGCUUUGCAGAUGCAGUAGUACCCAGACGCUGCAGGGUUUGAUUCCCGAGCUCCCGGCGAAGGAGUGAAAGGAGGACACGCGCUUCCUCAGCAAUGAGACCAUGACUUCAUCGGCCUACAAGGAAGAUGACGGGCAGAAACGGCAGGACGACGGGGAAGGGCUGUGCUGUGAGCCUGCAGCACACCUUUCGCUGCUGCUCAGAGAGAUGUUCUGUUAUCCACUGAUGCAUCCUCAUUUAGAUGGGUUUCUUCUUCCUGGAUAUUUAAACCAGCGAUUCUUCGGCUCUGCUCAGCACUGGCGAGGCCUGGCCUGGAGUCCUGUGUCCGGUUUUGGGCCCCACGUGUCUAAAAGGAUGCAGACAUGGACAGAUUGGCAGGAGUCCAGCAGUGAGCAACACAAAUGAUUAGGGGCCUGGGAAGCGAGACGCCUGAGCAAAGGCUGAAGGAACGAGGGCUGUUCAGGUUGGAGAAGAGAAGAGAAGACUGAGGCGGGGGGAGGUUGAUCGCUGUCUUCAGACACCUGAAGGGCAAUUUCAAGGGCAAAGAGUGGAUAGAGAUGGGCUUGUCUCUGUGGCUGUAGGGGACAGGACUAGGAGCCACGUGUCAAGCUUCAGCUUGGGAAGUUUAGGUUGGAGAUGAGGAGAAACCUUCUGGCCAUGAGGGUGGUCAAGCACUGGCCCAGGCACCUCGAGAAGUUGUUACCCUCCAUCCCUGGAAACGUUCAGGAGUAGGAUGGGUGGACGGAUGGAUUAGUGCCUGGGAUGGUUUAGUCAGGGAUGAUCCUUCCUUUAGCAGGGGAUGGACUAGAUGUGAGGUCCCUUCCAGCCCUACUUUCCUAUGAUCCUAUGAUCAUCUAGAGCAGCCUUGGUCCCAGGAGACGAGUACCAUGGCACUCAGGUGGAGUCCCCCUUUGACAAGGGCUGCUUUCCAUCAAUGCAUCCUGGUUGUUGACUCGUAGAGUCAUAGAGACGCGGGGCUGGGAGCGACCGUCAGAAGUCUUCUAGUCAGACCCCGGCCUGCGGCAGGACCGUCCUUACCCCAACCAUCCCAGACAAACCCAUCAUCUAACCUCUUUCUCAAACCACCACCAACCCUGACAUAACACCCAGACCUGCCACAAAUAACGGAGGUGAAAUUCCCUCCCAGCUCCAUGCGGCAACCAGCAAACAUCCCCAAACCCUCCUCACGGCACUAAGACAUUAUCCCCAUUACCUUAUUGUGCCUCCCUCCCUUUCUGUAAGGCCCAGAUGGAUUUUACUGAUCCCCUUCCUCUGGGCUCCGGAUCCUCUUGGUCAGCAGGUGUUUGCAACCCAUGCAGCCACUCCUCCCUCCUCAGACCCUGCCUGGACUCCAGCACUGCCGCCAGCUCCAUCGCUGGUCUCGGACCGCGUCUUCCCCGAGUCCUCUCGGGCAGCACGGCGCCGUGUGCCCAGCUUCCAGCGUGGUCCCGUGCCAGGGCAAGGUACAUCUAGGAGCUUCUGUAUGCAGGCAGAUUGUUGUGGGAACUUAUUCAGAACUCAUCCUCAGUCCUCGGGGUGAUUUUCCCCCUUGUUCCUUCAAAGAAAACACCCAAACUGAACUCCUCCAUAACCGAAGCAAACUCCCUGGUUUAUGGCUCCCUGCACACCGCUUGUAUGGCGUUGCUGAUGUCACCCGGUCCCGCUGUUUGGGCUCAGCAGACAGCGGUCCAGCAGUCAUGAUCACAUCUAAUCUGAAGGAGACUGAAUCACCUGAACGAGCUGCUGAGCCUUGUAGGGAGCCUGGCCUGCCAAGCAAUGUGCUGCCUCGGAGGAUGGGACGGCCACCCCCACCCCCCCCGGGCCAUGCAAGCUCUGCACUUCAUGUGUGCGUGAGGCGGUCCUGGCUGCAUCACUCUGAUUCCCUCUCUCUCUUUUCCUGUUCCAGCCUAGCGAUGCUCACUUAAUGAACCAACAAACCCUGACCCAGCCUCUGCCUCUGAGCUGCAAUCCCGUCACGAAGCACGAGCAGCUGAAAUCCUCUCCUGCUACAGUUUGCAGAUACCCGACCACUCGCUUGUUGAAUCACUUGAGCACAGCUCAGCGAGACGAAAGGUUUCUGGUCGGGUUGCACAGCGGUAUCAGCUGGGACGGCGAGUGCCACAGAAGCACCACAGCGAGCACGGCCACGAAGUGGUUCGACUGGCGUAGGAGCAGCAUUGCUGGUCUGCAGAGGGAGCUGUGCUCAUCCCAUUUCCCUCCCUGGGAAAACCCGGUGGAGAGCUGUAGGCUCAUCACGUCAGUCUGGAGUCAGGUAGAAGGCAGAAUGGAGUUGCACCUUAUAGACUAACCAGUUCUAGGUGCCACACUUCAGCAAAGAUGUGGGGAAGCUCAAGAGAGUCCAAAGGAGGGCCACGCUCAUGAUUAGAGGCCUUGACAGUGCAUGCAAGGCCUCUGGCAAGAUCCUCAGAUGGCAUGGUUUUUGUUAUAUGAAUCUGAAAGACGUGCAGGACGAAAGACGCAACAUCUUUCGAGUAUUCUGUUGCCUAGUUUCUUGCAUUUUAAUACAUAAUACAGCAAAUUACAGAUAGCAGUAAUGUGCCUCCCAAUAAAGUCAUAUAUGGUUUGUAACGACGCCCCAGGGAAAUCCACCUCUGUCAAACAAGAUUCGCUACUGCAGAAGGAGAAGUUGGGCGCUGCUGCUGGAUCACUUUGUGGCCAACAAUCACCACUACAAUAUGGUACAAGCGUCACUGUUGCUCUUGCUCCAGCUGCUCGUACACUGGGGCUGCAAGAAACCUCUCUGCUCAGCACCUCCAGUGUGUGACGCCGAGCACCCCUGCCUAGGCACGCGGAGCUGAGAGUUGUCUUCCUCCGAGUGAUCCGGCGCUGGCGGGGUGCCGGCUGCGUUGGACCUAGGGUUGACCUUGCGUGUUGGGAUUGCCUGUUUCAGACACGUGGGGCCCAUCCUAGGCUACAGACUAGAAAAAGGCCUGUUUUCACGUACAAUUACUUUUACUGUGGACGGUGGAUAUGACACCUGGUGCAUUUUCGCUGCCAAGGGUCAGAGAAAGUUGUGCUCAGUUUGGGAUCUGGCUGCAGAUGAAGCUGGGGCUCCGGGGUCCUUGUUCUGGACACAGGAUUGAGACGGGUUCAGGUUCUGCAAAGACCUGGGCCUCGUGGCCUGGCUUCCUCCGCAGAACUGAUCUGGUCUGGCCUCAGACAGGAGAGUCUGGAGAGUUGUUUCUCUGCGUUCAGAGGGACAUGGACAGCAUCGGAUGCCUUAUAAACCAACCUCUUAAAGUACAAGUGCCUUGCUCUGGCCGCAUAGGUGUUUCUGCUGCUCACCAAUAUGCUAAGUUGUCAGGUCUUGGCUUCUGCUGGGCAAAGCCUGAAAGGGUCUUCUAACUUCCAGCCUGUGCUCUCACCUGAACCUUGCGCUGUAAACGCCUCCCUAGCCAGAGGUUUCACGUCUUGCACCUGUAGCCUUUAACCUCAUUUCCCUAUUCAUAUGCUCUUCCUCUCUGAUGGCAAUUCAUAUCGGCUUCCAGAAGAGACUGCCCGUUCUCACUUUUCUGCAAGCGCUGUUACUCCAAACCAAUAGAAGUUCUUAACUGUUUUUGUGGAGGGGGAAAAAGCACUUGGCCUUGUUUUCCCUGAGACCUUUCUGUUCCCUCCACCCCUCCUUUUGCAGGGCCAUGUCAUAUUCAAACCUUGUCAAAACUGGCUGCCUGCUUUGUUCACCUGCGCCUUCAGAGUCUCAGCUUACACGCCGUCCCCAAGAAGGCCAGCCGCGUCUCCGUCUCACGGAGCAGGCACAACAGCAGGGAAAUUUGCAGCUCUGUAAAGCUGCUUUUGCUCCCAGGAGGUGUCCCUGUGGGAAUGGGGGAAUAUUAGAUUAGUAAUGAGGCAGACAUUACUUUACAUUCAUAAUGAAACACCAUGUCUGCUGAUCCAGCAAGCAGUUACAUGUAACACAAAGGCUUGCUGCUGUCCCCAUCACCAAAUACAUGUUCUUAAAACCCACUCACCUUGCUGCCCUGUGCCGAUGGGGAGGUACGCUGAGAGCACGCAGCGCGCAGGGACACGGUCAGCCCCUGCUUCGGUGAGGGCUAAAGUCCCGUUCACAUCGUCUUUGUUCUGGAGGCAAUGUGACAUCGCGUGUGCCAGGGAUGACAUCCGGGGGUGCCGGACGUGACGUACUUAUACCGCGUGCUUCUGAGGCUGGAGUACGUGGACCAGAUACUGAGACGGAAGUAGGGACGGGACUUGAUGGAGUGCCAGCUCUUCCACAGCCACUUCCGCGUUACCAGGGUGGAUGGAAACUUAGCUUUCAUCUUCUUACCGAGAGAGAAGGUGUGUAUAUGGGGAAUUACCAUGGAGCAGCGGAUGGGUGGCCAAGAUCUGCCAGUGCUCAUCUCCAAUGCACUUGCUUCUGUGCUUGUGCCCUUGGACUCUGAAUGCUUCUCUCCUCUUUCCUUUGCUGGGACGGGGCUGCACUAGCGCUGGGUGAGGAGCUGGGGCAAUUCCAGCUCCUUCGCCUACUCCUGCGAUAGCCAGGGCUAUUUCUUGAAGGACCCGCUUGUGCCAUCACUGUUUUUAAGGGAAUGGUUGAAGUGAGGGAUGUCUGUGGCUGACGAUACGGCCCCUGUCCCCCAUUCAAGACGCUUGCUCGGGGUGAUCGAAUGGGCAGGAGCACGGACACCUGGUUCUCUACCUGCAUCUACUGUUGUCCCCCUAUGGCCCUUGGCCACAUCGCUUCAUCUUCCUGUUCUUCCAGUCUUUGUCUUGUCAGCUCUGACCGGAAACGUGUGGGCAGGGACCAUCUCUUGCAGCAUAGGGCUUUUGCUGCAGGUCCCAGUCCCCAGCAGGGGUGUCUCCCGGUGCUUCUGUAAUAGCAGCAUAUGCUCUAGUUGAGUCCUGCCACCCAACUGCUCUUGUCCCUUACAAAAAUCACACUGUUUUCAUUUUCUAAGCAGCCUUGUUCUUUUCCGCUAGAGUCUAUUGCAUGCAUUUUAUGCUUGAGGAACUAUAUGUAGGUUUUAUUGCUCUCAGUUGUGUCUUGUUCUUCUGUGCUGCAAGUUAAUAAGAUUGAGAUGGGUUUGCAAUCAGCAGAAAUUAACCUUCCAUGGAGAAUGGGUACGAGAAGUUCAGCCCACACUCGAGGCCCUUCUGGGCAUGAGGCCGGAUGCUGUCGAGCAGUCCAGGCUUGGGCCCAGGUGCUGAGAGCAGUGAGAAGGGCCAGCCCCCGGUGUACGGGCCCUUCCAUAAGGGCGUCUCUCCCCCUGCUUUCUCCCCUCGGAUCGGGCCGCACCCUGCCUGGCAGCUCCUCGUCUGCCCUGUGGCACCCCUUGCCCUUGCUCUUUGCAGAACGUGUUCUCUGUGGUGGCUGGGGGGAGAACAAGAAACCUGAUCUGAUCCCAAGCUCGUGGAGGGGGAGGCAUUCGGCAGGCUCCUCUGCCAUUGCAGCAUCCUCAGGUAUUUUGCUCAACACUGCUCCCCCCCACCUCCCAUUUCGGAGGGUCUAAAAAUGGCUCCACAGAGCCCAGGCCACCUCCAGGGGUUUGAACCAUCACGAGGUAUCCCUGAGGACAGCUACGCUCCCGUCUCCUCCUCUCCCAGCACGAGACAGUCCUGGGGACCUGUGACACCAACUGCGUUUUACCUCUUGCAAAGCACGUGUCUGAUGUCACUUCCCUCCCACAGCCCCGUCCCCUUCGUACGGAUGUGCCCUCCCCUGUCCUGGGGCUGUGUCCCGGGCAGGGCCAAAGACCGCUGUCCCCGAGCAUUCGCCGACCCGCCGUUCCUACGCUCGUGCACGCAGUGGGUCGCAGGGGACAGGGCUGUCAGGUCUCUGGAGGAGGCCGAGGGCCUGCCUGUGGCCAGCUGCGUCCCUGCACAGCUGGUUUCGGUGCCAGCGAGACUGGAUUGGCAUACCCAGUGCUGUCAGUGCUUAGAGCCCUGCAUAGAUCUUUAUUACCUCAAAUCUCAGCUGCCCAAGUCUCUUGAGUCUGUGGAAAGAAUAACACUACGGAGCUGCAUAAGACUCAUCAGGCUGGCUAAUUACUGAGGUUUCCUUAAUCAGCAUAGCUGACUUGAAGGGCUCGCUUGAGCUAAUCCCAAGGUUGAAGCAUGAAAUACAUACCCAUCCUCACCCUAGCCCCAGGGAACUGGAUGUAGCGUUCAUGUCUUCCACAAUCAUUUUGCAAGUGUCUUAAUGCUCAUCUUUGCUGCAGUCAUUUGCAGCUCUGGUUGCACGGGUGUGUGCCCACGCACAUGGAUAUAAAUAGACACGGUGAUGUACAGCUCACGUGGAGCUUUGCUGCAGGUAAGGGCAGCAGAGAGCUGCACUGCCUCGAGCAGACCAGACCGUGGCUCCUGGUCCUAUAUUUGGAGCAGAUUAGUUCCUCGUUGGAUGCUGGUAGCAGUGCCAGGGAUGCAGAGCUCACCCUCUCCCUGCUGCCUGUGCGCAGGCAUGGACCGGGGAGAGCAGCCCCACGUGCCUCAGGCAAUACCUGCUGUGCACCAGCAGCUCACGUGGAGGGAGGGAAGCAGUCCAGUUUCUUUGCAAGCCAAUUUCUGUGCCCUCACUGCCACUGAGAUUGAAAACGGAUCGGGGCCCGUCCUACGCUGCUUUAGGUUACUGGAGAAACCCGGAUCAGCUGCAACCUUGGGACACAGACCGCACGGGCACAGGACAUGUUCGCCACAGGCAUUGCCACCCCCAUUCCCACCGCAGGUGAGCAGACCAGAACGCCCGAGGCCCGUUGCAAACCCGGGUGAACCCUCCCUAGCAAAGCAGAACGAAUGCACGCCAUCCACCCCGCAUCAACGCAGAGCUUCUGCCGCGUGACCAUGUCUUUAAAUACAAAACUUCCUGUGGAGCCCUCAGGCCGUAACUGCUGCUUUUCGUUCUUCCUUUCAGUUCCUUUCCACAGCUUUUGGCUUUCUUGCCCCAUGAAAAGUUAAGGAAAAAAUACUGUAAUCAUAACCCUUCCCUGACUCGAGCUUGUGUGACCUCCUGUGACCUUACCUAGAUGCUUAAACAGCUACAGAUCACUGCUUGCUAAUGGGGACUUCUGCUAUUGGGACGAUCCCUCUGGGAACAGAUGUAGUCGAUCCAGUGCUCCAGGAUCUGUUGCAGCCAGAAAGGUCGAUCCUGAGCCUUACGGCAGCCUGCCACGCGCGCUGAAACCCCGCGAAGGGUGCAUCAGGCCUGCCUCCCAACAGACAUCCAUCUCUCUCGCUCCGCGCGGGGGCAGAAAGUUGCUGUUUGACAUUUGUGAGAGUUGAAGCUAGAUUGCAGUUGUUCUUGAGCAAGCUCCUCUCCCCUCUCCACCCUGUCUCACGGCCCUGGGGCCAUCGCGGACUGACAGACGUGUGUCAUCCCCCUUCCUCCCCCUGCCCAACUCCAGCAAAAGCUGCAGCACCUUUCUUCCAUCCCCCUCGGGCUGGUGUUUCCGUCUUGGACAGGGUGACCCCUGCCCAGAUGCCUCUCGGGCCACGUGGAGCAGCCCUUUGGUGUCUGCGGGUCAGCCCUCCCUUUCUGCAGCCGAGGGACGACGCAGCGGGCGAGCUGGCUCGCCCCCUUGGAGCCGACGCUUUCGCGGGCGCACCUCUCCAUCCACCUCACAACCAGGACAGUCCAGGUUAACACGUAACUGGAAGAGGCUGUGCUGUAUUCGCGCCUGAUGUCAGCGGAUGCAGCUGCUCACUCCAGACCCCAGCUUGGGCCUUCCCAUUUGAACUUUUUUCGACAUUAUUGGAGCUCAAGCGAAAUUUGUUCCAGCUGCUCUCACAAUGCCAAGACAUUGCCAGGGUCACAGACGAUGUCUCUUUUCUGCCAGAUGAUAAUGGCUUCUGCCAGGGAGCUCUGAAAAGGCCAGUGUUAACAAAGGCAAAGCACUUUGAAGCGUAAUUGCUGCUCGCCCCUUAACUUCCAUUGUGCUUCACUGAGUUAUUGUAAAUAGAUGCCAUUUUUCUCUCAAAGACCUAUAUCAUUGUGCCUGGCUAAUUGAAUUCAGCCCUCACAAGGCUCAUUUCCUUUAGUAAUUCGUGGACCCGCAAUGUUCCAGCAAGUUCAUUAUGUAGUGAAACAUGCUCCCCAACCCCUCGUGCUCAUAUUCAGGUCCCGCAGGAAAUUGUAAGGCUUCCAGAAACCAGCCCACACACCUGUAGGUGCCUACAUAAUCCAUGAAUCAUAUCUGCUGUACAGUGGGCCCCCUGAUUCAUUGCUUAGGAACUAUGCAAAUCUCAUGACGUCUGUUUUAAUAUACUCUCAAAGGCAUUAGAAGCCUUGUGAAACUUUAUACAGUUAUGCAAAGUUGGCGUGCCCACGGGAAGGGGCGCUGCGCGGCUGCCUUCCCGCAGCACGGUCUGCAGCCGCCAGAAAGAUCGUGGACGGACCGGGGAAGCCGACGCUGUGUCGGGGGGGGGGUCCUGCUACCGGCUGUACGGUCCGGUCCGCACCACCGUCCGGCUGCGGUGGAGGAAGGAGCAAGGGAGGAAGCAGCAGCCAGGUGCUGAAGGAUCCCUUUCACUACUUUCUUGAGCGCCCCGGGUCUGACUCUGCCCCGCGGUGUCGCACGCUGGUGUCAGUCGCUCCAGUGAUUUCAGUGGGGUUGCUUCUGAUUCGUACCAGUGUAAGCAAGAGAGCCGUUUCCCAGGGCACAGUACUAGAAGUUGUGGUGGCUUUAAUGGAUCGGGAAGGACAUUGUGCCUUGUAUCUGGAUACCAGCCUGUGCUGUUAAUGACUGCGAGUGUUACUGCUACCGGCUCUCUGGGGGCUUGUCUUUGAUGCAAGGGAGGGCCCAGGCCUGGUCCUGUAGCAGCUCCUCACACCAGCUCUCCCGGGAGUACGGAGCAGGCAUGGCCCCGGCCACCCGGCACCCUCGGCUACUUGGACUGGCCAUUGGGCUCGUUGAACUGGGGAGCUGGGGCUCUGGGAACUAACUUCAACUGGGAAACGACACCAGCUCAGCAUCUCCAGGAGGUGCAAAAAACUGGCACAAAGCUGUUUCCGCAGCACCACCUCCUCAGCUGUAUUGAUUCUGGCCGCAGCGAGUGCAGGGUGUCAGGAAUAUUAACUACGGCAAGCACAGUCUAUCCGCUGCCCUUGUUGUGAGGACAGCAUAGAACAGAAAGUUUCACCCAGCAGUCCAGGACAUGGCCCGGGAGGAGAACGGAAGAGAAGAGUAUUGCAACGCGCUGUGUUCAGACAGCAUUUUCAUGAAAAACAAAUAGAACUGGGAGAUUCAUAAAGAAAAUAUGGUAGGACACAGACGUGAUUAGCUAGACAGUAUUUAAUUAAGUAUACUAGGGAUUGUUAGCAAAUGAAAGCUUAUCAACUCCAGGCCAUUCUGCAGCAUACAGGACGACUUUGCCCAUGGGAAAACAGACUGAGACUGUUACUGACCCUAAAAGCCACUGCGAUAGCCCGUUACUUUUCAUGUCACCCCUGGCAUCAGGACCAGGGAGCGAGCAGGUCCGGACAAGUGGCUCAGCUGGGCUCCUGUCCCUCGGUACAAAAAGUCCUCUGAGCAUGGCUUAGAAAAUGUCCUCUCUUUGCAGAAGCAGUGACUUGCAGUGACGUGAAAACCAGCUGGUUGUCCCGAUGCACACUGCGGCAGCCAGCGCAGAGCUGUCUCGGUAAGGCACGUGACUGCUAAGUGAAGACAUCCCCCGGCCCGGGCGAGCCCUGAGCGGGCGUACCUCACAACUGAAGUGUUCUUGUGGUGGGCACAAGAGUGUGCGCUCUGGAUGGGAUGCUCAGCUCACACUCUGUGUCACCAGGAACACCUGGUGCAAAGUGAGUCUAGCUGCAGCAAGGAAGACAUGAACGGAGAGCUCUGAUGUGGUAGAUUGACACCUGUUUUCCUCAGGUGUAAAGGCUAACUUAAUAACUAUUCUCCAACUAUUUGGGUUGGUCUAAUAAAAGAUAUCAAAUUCACCCAAGGAACCUUGUCUGCCUAUGUCUGGAGACCAAUACGGCUACAACCUACACCCCUGCAAGGCUAACUCAAGUCAUUUGUGGAUGUUAAGGCCAGGCUUGACCAUGAGAGCAUCUUGCCUGACCUCUGGCACAACACAUCCCAGAAAACCUCACCCAGGGACCCCAGCACAUCACUUCCAGCUGAGCCGGAUCUGAAAGAGACACCGGGUCUCGAUGGAAAGACUGCAAGUGAUGGAGACUUCCCCAGACCUUGAGGUCAGUGGGUCCAACGGAUACUCUCCUUCACUG
Long non-coding RNA from Alligator mississippiensis (American alligator), 12147 nucleotides. RefSeq lists it as uncharacterized. NCBI's taxonomy places the organism in Eukaryota, Metazoa, Chordata, Crocodylia, Alligatoridae. The transcript has 3 exons. The record is from RefSeq and is a predicted model, not a curated record.